GACUUCUGGUUUAAUGCACCUGGCCCGCGGCCCACAAGGCCUGUGAGUGCCGGCGCGCGUUUACCAUCCUUCCAGCAACGGCUACCCUUAACUGGGCGGCUGGAACUGGAUCUUUUACUUUGAAAAAAUUAGAGUGUUUAAAGCAGGCGUUUGCUCUGAAUACAUUUAGCAUGGCAUACUAAUCUAGGACUUCGGUUCUCUUUUGUUGGUUUCUCUAACUGAAGUCAUGAUUGAUAGGGAUAGUUGGGGGUGCUAGUAUUGGCCGGUCAGAGGUGAAAUUCUUGGAUUCGGUCAAGACUAACUUAUGCGAAAGCAUU
RNAcentral lists this ribosomal RNA (317 nucleotides) under uncultured Glissomonadida. Its description in RNAcentral is "SSU rRNA". The stretch from base 102 to 317 matches the Rfam family "Eukaryotic small subunit ribosomal RNA", at positions 739 to 955 of the family's 1831-position model. The record is from RNAcentral. Lineage: Eukaryota; Cercozoa; Glissomonadida.